GAAACGACUGCUAAGACUGGAUAGGAGAUAAGAAGGCAUCUUCUUAUUUUUAAAAGACCUAGCAAUAGGUAUGCUUAAGGAGGGGCUUGCGUCACAUUAGUUAGUUGGUAGGGUAAAAGCCUACCAAGACAAUGAUGUGUAGCCGGGCUGAGAGGUUGAACGGCCACAUUGGAACUGAGACACGGUCCAAACUCCUACGGGAGGCAGCAGUAGGGAAUUUUCGGCAAUGGAGGAAACUCUGACCGAGCAACGCCGCGUGAACGAUGAAGUAUUUCGGUACGUAAAGUUCUUUUAUUAAGGAAGAAAAGAUGGUGGAAAAACCAUUAUGACGGUACUUAAUGAAUAAGCCCCGGCUAACUAUGUGCCAGCAGCCGCGGUAAUACAUAGGGGGCGAGCGUUAUCCGGAAUUAUUGGGCGUAAAGGGUGCGUAGGCGGUUCAAUAAGUUUAUGGUCUAAGUGCAAUGCUUAACAUUGUGAUGCUAUAAAAACUGUUUGACUAGAGUUGGAUAGAGGCAAGUGGAAUUCCAUGUGUAGUGGUAAAAUGCGUAAAUAUAUGGAGGAACACCAUGAGCGAAGGCGGCUUGCUGGGUCUUAACUGACGCUGAGGCACGAAAGCGUGGGGAGCAAACAGGAUUAGAUACCCUGGUAGUCCACGCCGUAAACGAUGAGUACUAGACGUUGGGUUAAACCAGUGUCGAAGUUAACACAUUAAGUACUCCGCCUGAGUAGUACGUACGCAAGUAUGAAACUUAAAGGAAUUGACGGGACUCCGCACAAGCGGUGGAUCAUGUUGUUUAAUUCGAAGGUACCCGAAAAACCUCACCAGGUCUUGACAUGUUUCUGCAAAGCUGUAGAAAUACAGCGGAGGUUAUCAGUUGCACAGGUGGUGCAUGGUUGUCGUCAGCUCGUGUCGUGAGAUGUUGGGUUAAGUCCCGCAACGAGCGCAACCCUUGUUGUUAAUUGCCAUCAUUAAGUUGGGGACUUUAGCAAGACUGCCAGUGAUAAAUUGGAGGAAGGUGGGGACGACGUCAAAUCAUCAUGCCCCUUAUGACCUGGGCUACAAACGUGAUACAAUGGCUGUUACAAAGGGUAGCUGAAGCGCAAGCUUUUGGCAAAUCUCAGAAAAACAGUCUCAGUUCGGAUUGAAGUCUGCAACUCGACUUCAUGAAGUUGGAAUCGCUAGUAAUCGCGAAUCAGCAUGUCGCGGUGAAUACGUUCGCGGGGUUUGUACACACCGCGCGUCA
Molecule: ribosomal RNA, 1244 nt
Filed under: Candidatus Phytoplasma hispanicum
Lineage: Bacteria; Bacillati; Mycoplasmatota; Mollicutes; Acholeplasmatales; Acholeplasmataceae
Description: bacterial SSU rRNA
Rfam family: Bacterial small subunit ribosomal RNA
Source: RNAcentral